CCUACGGGAGGCAGCAGUGGGGAAUAUUGCACAAUGGGGGAAACCCUGAUGCAGCGACGCCGCGUGAGUGAGGAAGUAUUUCGGUAUGUAAAGCUCUAUCAGCAGGGAAGAAAAUGACGGUACCUGACUAAGAAGCCCCGGCUAACUAAGUGCCAGCAGCCGCGGUAAUACGUAGGGGGCAAGCGUUAUCCGGAUUUACUGGGUGUAAAGGGAGCGUAGACGGAAUAGCAAGUCUGAUGUGAAAACCCGGGGCUCAACUCCGGGAGUGCAUUGGAAACUGUUGAUCUAGAGUGUCGGAGAGGCAAGCGGAAUUCCUAGUGUAGCAGUGAAAUGCGUAGAUAUCGGGAGGAACACUAGUGGCGAAGGCGGGUUCCUGGACAUUAACUGACGCUGAGGCACGAAGGCCAGGGGAGCGAAAGGGAUUAGAUACCCGGGUAGUC
Molecule: ribosomal RNA, 440 nt
Filed under: uncultured bacterium
Lineage: Bacteria
Description: partial 16S ribosomal RNA
Rfam family: Bacterial small subunit ribosomal RNA
Source: RNAcentral